This 76-nucleotide transfer RNA is filed under the name Gammaproteobacteria bacterium. RNAcentral's name for it is "tRNA-Thr". It matches the Rfam family "tRNA". From Rfam's summary of the family: Transfer RNA (tRNA) molecules are approximately 80 nucleotides in length. Lineage: Bacteria; Pseudomonadati; Pseudomonadota; Gammaproteobacteria. The record is from RNAcentral.
GCCGCAAUGGCUCAACUGGUAGAGCAACGCACUUGUAAUGCGUAGGUUGAGGGUUCGAGUCCUUCUUGCGGCACCA